AAAAAGGAAAAAAAAAGGAAAAACCUGCAUAAAGUUAGAAAGGCUCAAGAAUAGAAACAAAUUGGUAAAAAAAAAGAGUAAUUCAUUUGGAAAAAUUUAGUACUGAAAAAGUAUAUGAAGAUAUUUCAAAACCUUCUUUUGCAUAGAAAAAGUGAAUUAAAUUAUCUGACAUUUUGAGGUUCUAUUGUAAGGAAAACACAGAAAAAGCUUGUUUGCAACCACUGACUAGGUUAGCAGAAAGAGCUUUAAAAAGCUCUCAAAGUCUACCAACUACAAUGAUGCCAAUGUAAUUUGAGACUAGCAAUGCUCAUGCAAAAUAGUCCUCCAACAACAAAAACAAAAGGAAAAUGAUGAAAUUAUCCAGCUGAAAAGUCCUUUGGAUUUGUCAAUCCAGGGCAAGUGUGGUGUUCCCCAAACUGCUCAUUGGAGUCUUUUGAAGAGGUCUACUACCAUGCAUUCUUGCAUACAAGAGUGGGAAAAAAGCAUAAACAGCAUCUACUUGCGAUGGUGACAAUACAGUAAAUGAUAUGAGAGUUUGGUUUCCAUUGUGAUAAAUACAAAAUUAUAUGUGCAGCCAAUGUAGAAAUGGAGUCCACUGCUAACAAAAAUAAUGCGACAGAAGAUCAUUCGCUUCUGUUUCUCUUUCUUUUUCAGAUAUUGCAAGCAUUAGAAAAAACACUCAAGAGCAAGAACUUCCUUUGUUGUCAAUCUUGUAAAUGGUUCUUGCAUUUCUUUCACAGUAGCCAGACAUUUUUCUGAAAAAUAUAAAAGUACCUUGCAAGGAAGAAACAAUGCAAUUCGUCACCACCUUCACACAUUUAGAAGGUACUUUUGAUACCACCUUAUAAAUGCUAGGCAUUACACAGCUUACUGGCUUAUUUCAAUCAUGCGACCUUUUAUGACCUUUCCAAAUAAAAGCAAUAUAUCUUGAAACUCUUGAGAUUUCAUGGUUAUGUUUAUUAUUAUUCCAUCAUACAUGUCGUACAACAUGAGCAUUAGGCCUUCUCCUAGUUAUUCUGGGAUAGCUCUAUGAAUCUCAUUGACCAAGGGUGCCAUUUAGGUCUAGCCAUGAUGCUAUUUCAAGAUUCCCGAUAUCCCUUCUCACAACUUCCACCCGCGUACAUACUUAAAGUAGUUCUUCCACUUCCUCUUCUACAACUUUCAACAAUAACUAUCUCUCCUUAUCGGAGCCCCCUUGUAUCUGAUGUAGCACAACUACAGGAAAAGAGGAGAAGGAGGAAGAACAAGGGAGGGAGAAGGAAGAAGAGGUUAUAGAGACGCAGGAAGAAGAGAAGGGGAGAAGGAAGAAGAAGAAGAACAAGAAGGAGGCUAGGGUUUUUUCAUUCAAUCAUCAAUUGCCUCAUACAUGAGAGGGGUGGUCUUUAUAUAGACCUUACAUCUUGACCAAAUCAAGUAAUCAAUUGAUCAAAUCAAUCAAUUAACACCGAUUAAAUUUGGACCCUUAUAUCAACUAAUUCCUUACCAAAAUUGGUCCACUAAAUUAACCCAAUUACAUAAACCCAAUUGACUAGUCUAAUAACAAAACAACUGACCAAAUUGACUUGAUUAAGACAAAAGCAAAUAAUGCAAUAAAAGAAAAUGACUCAGACUCAAAUGGACCCAAUCCGAGUCUGACUCAAUCCGGAGGCUCAGGAUCAUCUAGAUGAAGGGCUCUGAUAUCCCUAUCAACUCCUUCCGGAUGAGAAAAACUCGACUUCGUCGAGUACAGGUCUGGCCGGCUGUCGUACUGCUCUAGAAAAUCGGGGUCAAGGCGCUGCAACUGGGCUCUGAAAAUCCACGUCACUUCAGACUUUGGUCGACCUUUCCACCGAACAAGGUAACAUUGGUAACCACCAUUCCUGGUUAAAAUAACCUGCUCAUCCAAUAUAUGUUCUAUUUGUUCUCUGCGUGCAUGAAAUUUGAGAGGUGGUGGCUCAAUAGCAGGUAAUAGUUCAGGAUGUUCAAUAUGGGCAGGUAUAUCAAUAAAGGGGUUAGAAGGCAUGAAUGUUGUCUUUUUGUAUGGGACUAUAUCUUCAAUAUUAAAUCUCGCACUAAUCCCAUAGUCAUCAGGAAGAUCCACAACAUAUGUAUUCGAAUUUCGAACUAAUUUUUUUUAAGACUUUGAACGGUUCCGCACUACAAGCUUAUAAUUUCUUGAACGUUUCCGAAGAAAGUCGUUCAAAUCUAAUUCUUAUCAUGACGUAACCUAUUUUACUUAACUCUUUAUAACGUCUGUGUAAUUCAACAAGGGAUUUAUAUUUUAAGUUAUUAAAAUGACUACAAUUGCUGAUUUCUUGAUACAAUGAAUAUGGAUGUGAUGCAAAUGAUUGUGCAGACUUAAAGACUCUAUACUGAUGAGACAUAAAAAAUAGGUCUAUGGGUCGCCUAGGUUUGUAAUCAUGCACCACUUCGAAUGGACUCAUGCCUAUGGACUUGUUAACCAAACUAUUAUAUGCAAACUCAACUGUCGGUCACAUUAAAUUCCAGAUCCUAGCAUAUGCAUUCGGUCUGAGCCUAUGAUAUGGAAGGUUGGGCAGAGAUGCUUCGGAAACUAGAUCAAUUGCACGUUGGAUAUCACGCAUUGGAGAAAGUGCAUUCGGAAGAUCAUUAGGGACUACAUCAUGAAACUCCUCUAGAAGAGAAACUACUACAGGGGAACGUUCACGGUUGGACGCCGCAUGGGUAUCUUUAGCUACAAAUGCCAACUCAGGUGACUAGCUCUCAAUAUCUUUCACUACCUCUUCCACAGUAGUGAUGUGAAGUGGCUUAGCUGUACUUAGAUCAAUAGUCUCCCCUUAGGAAUCAUUUUGGACAAAGUCUAAUUCUGUGGGUUCGUCUUCAAAGUCUUCUUCAUAGUCUUCUAUAUUUGGUUCAUAGACUUCUUCGACAUAUUCGACCUCUUGGCUCCUAACUUCUAGUUCAGUAAUCAUGUAGGUCUUAAUGGAAUAUUGGGAUGCUAUGUGGCCGAAUUGUUGACACCUAGAGCAUUGAGUUUGGUGCCUAGGAAAAUGGGGAAGGAUUACAGGUGAUGUGACCAAACCAAUUUUAGGUUCGGCUGCAAUAGAGGUUGGCGGUUUAGGGAUCCUAGAAUUUCACAUGAGCUCACGGAUCUCUUGUUUGAAUUCCUCGUGUCCAGCCCGCAUGGCAUCGAGCUGUUCUAUGAGAGAUCUAUAAACGUCGGAAUUCAUGGUAGCUACAAAGGUUUUAAGUUGAUUAAAAUAGUACUCCCUAUCACUACGGGUUGGCAUGCAAUGACGACACUAGGUGAUGAUGUGAAAUGCAGUGUCACUACUGAGACCCUAAUAAAUAUGAUGUGAAAUGCAGGACAACCUACUAAUGCAAUCUAUUAUGAUCCAGAGAUCAGCAAGUUUUCACAAAAAUAACUUAAAAUUUAAAUGUUGCUGAUUUUUACUUCGGUUAUUCGAAAUUAAGGAUUAAGAUUAUUCAAUUUAAGAAAUUAAAUUGCAAUCAAGUAGUACAGUUGUUCUGAUCCUAAAUCAAUCUGAUCAAAGAAUGUUAAGAAACAUCCAGUUGCUAGGGUGUGCUAAUUUAAUAUCUAGAUUUUAAAAGGGCAAAUAGGAUGGGUUUGAAAGUAGGGGUUCUAUGUUCUGAAUUUUGACAGCAAAAGUAAGUUUGAAGAAUAUGGCUAUCAUGCAAGAGAACUAGAACAUAAUUAAAUGAACAAGCCCAAGAAAAGUGGAAACCUUAUUAUCCGUCGUGAAGUAGACGACCAGAAUGUGUGCUCGUGGGCUGGGGCGACGAUCGGUGCGCGAUUGCAGCUGAUGGACACUUUCAAUUGGCUUCAAUUGACUUCAACUUGGAUUUGAUCACAGCACCUUGGCGAGUCUGCUGGGCUUGUAAAAUGACAGGGAGUGGACCUGUUCGAGUUUGUGGGAUGGGAUCAGGCCUCUGUAGUGAGGGCCUGCUGGCUUGGGCCCGUAAGGUGGCAGUGGGGUGGCCUGAAACUUGGGCUUAAAAGGGGCCUGUCUGGGGUCGAUGGAGGGGUGCUCGAGUGAGCUGCAGUGGCCGAAGAAGAAAAAGGAUGAGGGGAAAGAGGGGCGGCGGAAGGUGACGGGUUCGGGAUGGGGACGGCCGGCGGCGGAGCAGACGAAGCGGCAGGCGGGUGGCGGCGGAGCUGCGGCGACGACGGAGGCAGAGCUCAAGGGAAGGAGGGGUUGGGCAGCGCGGUGGAGGCGGACACGGAAGAUAGAAGGGGAUGGUGGCUUCGGCCGGUGGAGCAGAAGCGGCGAAGGGUGGGCGGCGCGCGGCGGCAGCACGGGUGAAGCAGCACUCAAGGGCGGCGGUGCGGCGUGCGGNNNNNNNNNNNNNNNNNNNNNNNNNNNNNNNNNNNNNNNNNNNNNNNNNNNNNNNNNNNNNNNNNNNNNNNNNNNNNNNNNNNNNNNNNNNNNNNNNNNNNNNNNNNNNNNAUUUCUUUUCCAACCCAAAGUAGAGAGUAUGGUACUUAACAAAUUUUCCUGUAUAUCCUCACUCUCAUCUAGAAUAAGGGCCAAUAAGAACAUUUUGUGGAUGAUCAUCGCUGACAAUAGAGAAAAAUGUACCGAACAUUCCAUUUAUGAGAUCAUUACAUUCAAGAUCCAACAUCACAACACAUGACCUGUAUCUUGCAAGCAUCUCUAAGAUAACAACCCUCCUUCCAAAUGAUGCACUGUUAAUGUCACCUAAUCCACUAAAUGUAGUAACCAUCAAAUGAAAUAUGUCCCUUAGAACAUCAUCACUGUAAGGAGCUUCUGGAGCAGUUAUUCGGGUGAUUUCACAAUUGCAGGUGGCUACCAGAACCUUGACUUCCCUGUCUUGAUGUUUCAGCAAUUCUUGUUUAGCUCUUUUUUUGUACGCUCGUGCGGUCACGUGCGGAGCUUUUUGGACCCGGGUCUCGGGUUAUCGGGUUCGGGUUAACGGGUUUUGUGACUUACCCGUUAAUCCUUUCUUCAACCUCCCUUUGGCUACGAGAGGGCGUGGCAAUAUUCGCGGUGGCAGCUGCGAGCGGGCAGAGGGCGCGGCAGCGGCUGCGGGCUUGUGGCGACCGGCAGUGACCGACGGCGACCGACCGUGGGGCUCCACGGCGGCGGUCUCCUCUGCGGACAUGAUGCAGGCGGCCGGUCUCAGGCUUCCGCGGGCAGCAACAAGGCGCCCAAUGGUGGCGGAGCGCUCGGGGCGCGCGGCGACACUUCGGAGGAGGCGGCGCUCGGCCUGGCAGUGGCGCGAUGCAGCGGCGAUGGAGUGUGGGAGUGGUGGCCGCAGGCUUGGCGGCCGGUGGGAGGGGCCCGACGAACAAGGGUUUUCCCUUUGCUGCUUUACUGGUGAGCACCGAGAGAGAGAGAGGAGGGGUGGUGGGCCAUGGGAAGUUGAGGGAGAAGCGGUGUCGAGGAGGCGGAGGCGGUGGGGUGAAUGAAUAGGGAUGGUGGACCGUGGGAGGUUGAGGGAGAAGAGGUUGGAUCGUGGCUUUGGCAACAGGGGCAAAGCCGGAGCUCUGAUACCAAGCUGAUGUAGCACAACUGCAAGGAAAGAGGAGGAGGAAGAACAAGGGAGGGAGAAGGAAGAAGAGGUUAUAGAGACGCAGGAAGAAGAGAAGGGGAGGAGGAAGAAGAACAAGAACAAGAAAGAGGCUAGGAUUUUUUCAUUCAAUCAUCAAUUGCCUCAUACAUGAGAGGGGUGGUCUUUAUAUAGACCUUACAUCUUGACCAAAUCAAGUAAUCAAUUGACACAGAUUAAAUUUGAACCCUUACAUCAACUAAUACCUUAUCAAAAUUGGUCCACUAAAUUAACCCAAUUACAUAAACCCAAUUGACAAGUCUAAUAACAAAACAACUGACCAAAUUGACUUGACUAAGACAAAAGCAAAUAAUACAGUAAAAGAAAAUGACUCGGACUCAAAUGGACCUAAUCCGAUUCUGACUCAAUCCGGGGGCUUAGGAUUGAGUCAGACUAGAUGAAGGGCUCUGAUGUCCCCAUCAGUAUCUUAAUUCUACGUACCUAAAACAUUUAAAUUGAUUCCCCAUCACUUUGUCCUUAAUUUGUGCAACUUUUAGAGCUCCCCUGACAAUAUAUAUAUAUAUAUCGAAUUUGGGUCCAUUUCAUACUUUUCAAGUAACAAUUAUCGAGAAAACACCACAUGAGUAACUAAACCACCAUUGUCCUGCAUAAUAUUUUAAUAGUUCUUACCUAAAAUCUGUCAUAUAUGCCUUUCAAUAUCUUCCCUAGUAUCCCCACACAAAGUCUUCAAUAUCUAUCGAGCUAUCAAAGCUCUUCAUGCAAUAAAGUUUGAAUAGAUCAUAUAGCUAUAGAAAGAAGAAAAACCAUGUUAUGAAAUUGAUCAGAGAAAACAAAGUUAAUCGAUUAGCUACAGAAACUAGCAGAAGGACAAACAGA
RNAcentral lists this long non-coding RNA (6387 nucleotides) under Phoenix dactylifera (date palm). RNAcentral describes it as "long non-coding RNA (PDAC_LNC007790)". The record is from RNAcentral. Lineage: Eukaryota; Viridiplantae; Streptophyta; Magnoliopsida; Arecales; Arecaceae.